RNAcentral lists this transfer RNA (76 nucleotides) under Nitrospirota bacterium. RNAcentral's name for it is "Nitrospirae bacterium (groundwater metagenome) tRNA-Arg". It matches the Rfam family "tRNA". From Rfam's summary of the family: Transfer RNA (tRNA) molecules are approximately 80 nucleotides in length. Their secondary structure includes four short double-helical elements and three loops (D, anti-codon, and T loops). Lineage: Bacteria; Pseudomonadati; Nitrospirota. The record is from RNAcentral.
GCGCCUGUAGCUCAAUGGAUAGAGCAGUAGCCUUCUAAGCUAUUGGUUGCAGGUUCAAUUCCUGCCAGGCGCACCA